CCUACGGGUGGCUGCAGUUUCGAAUCAUUCACAAUGGGCGAAAGCCUGAUGGUGCGACGCCGCGUGAGGGAUGAAGGUCUUCGGAUUGUAAACCUCUGUCACUGGGGAGAAAACGCUUUGAGUUAAUAGUUCAAAGCCUGAUUUAACCCGGAGAGGAAGCAGUGGCUUACUCUGUGCCAGCAGCCGCGGUAGUACAGAGACUGCAAGCGUUAUUCGGAUUCGCUGGGCGGGUUGGGUGCGCAGGCUGUGAAAUCCCGAGGCUUAACCUCGGAACUGCGUCUGAAACUACUCGACUAGAGUACUGGAGAGGGAAACGGAAUUCACGGUGUAGCAGUGAAAUGCGUAGAUAUCGUGAGGAACACCAGAGGCGAAGGCGGUUUCCUGGACAGUUACUGACGCUCAGGCACGAAAGCAUGGGGAGCAAAAGGGAUUAGAUACCCCUGUAGUC
This 448-nucleotide ribosomal RNA is filed under the name uncultured bacterium. Its description in RNAcentral is "partial 16S ribosomal RNA". It matches the Rfam family "Bacterial small subunit ribosomal RNA", at positions 338 to 795 of the family's 1533-position model. The record is from RNAcentral.